UACAGAGGGGGCAAGCGUUGUUCGGAAUUACUGGGCGUAAAGGGCGCGUAGGCGGCCUUCUAAGUCGAACGUGAAAUCCCUGGGCUCAACCCAGGAACUGCGUCCGAUACUGGAAGGCUUGAAUCCGGGAGAGGGAUGCGGAAUUCCAGGUGUAGCGGUGAAAUGCGUAGAUAUCUGGAGGAACACCGGUGGCGAAGGCGGCAUCCUGGGCCGGUAUUGACGCUGAGGCGCGAAAGCCAGGGGAGCAAACGGG
Molecule: ribosomal RNA, 253 nt
Filed under: uncultured bacterium
Lineage: Bacteria
Description: partial 16S ribosomal RNA
Rfam family: Bacterial small subunit ribosomal RNA
Source: RNAcentral